RNAcentral lists this ribosomal RNA (252 nucleotides) under uncultured bacterium. RNAcentral describes it as "partial 16S ribosomal RNA". It matches the Rfam family "Bacterial small subunit ribosomal RNA", at positions 524 to 776 of the family's 1533-position model. The record is from RNAcentral.
UACGUAGGGGGCAAGCGUUGUCCGGAAUUAUUGGGCGUAAAGCGCGCGCAGGCGGCCUUGUAAGUCUGUUGUUUAAACUUGGGGCUCAACCCCAAGUCGCAAUGGAAACUGCAAAGCUUGAGUGCAGAAGAGGAAAGUGGAAUUCCACGUGUAGCGGUGAAAUGCGUAGAUAUCGGGAGGAACACCAGUGGCGAAGGCGGCGAUCUGGGAAGAUACUGACGCUGAGGUGCGAAAGCGUGGGGAGCAAACAGG